AAAGGUCUUGAUCUUUAGCGGCGUUUGUGGGAAAAGCGCCGCUAAAGAUCAAGACCUUUAGCGGCGCUUUUUUCGAAAAGCCGCUAAAGGUCCUGAUUUAUAACGGCGUUUGUAAAAAAAGCGCCGCUAAAGGUCCUAGCCUAUAACGGCGUUUGUGGAAAAGCGCCGCUAAAGGUCCUGACCUAUAGCGGCGUUUGUGGGGAAAGCGCCGCUAAAGGUCAUGAUCUAUAGCGGCGUUUAUUUUUAAAAACGCCGCAAACAUUUGUGGCGUUGACAACAGCAGCAUUUUUUGCAGCGCUUUUAAAAAUGCCGCAAAUACUUUUAAUGGCGCUAAACGCCGCUAAAAACCUAUUUUGGUGUAGUGAUGCCGAUGUUUUAUACAAGGCUUUAUGUUCUAUAAAUCUUAUGAGAGCAAUAGUAAAAGCAAAUAAAUGUGUUAAGAAAGCUAAAUUAUUCAGGUAUGUGAUAGCCAUUUGCUUAAUUGGUGACAAGGUAAGUUGAUUUUUUUAAGUUGAUAAUAGUUUCAAAUGAAAUAUAGAGUAUGAGUUAACCAUUUGAGUAUAAGCAUGUUUUGGCAUAAUGAUUUAUUGAAUAUUCGGCUUUACUAAAUAUCUAUGUGUAUUUGGCCAUAUGGUUUGUUUAUAUGGAAAUACAAUGUGAUCUUUAUUCAAGUGUUAUAUGGUACAAAAUAUUAGGAUAUUUGUUUUAUUUAAUUUAAUGAUGGAAUGAG
Molecule: long non-coding RNA, 730 nt
Filed under: Gossypium barbadense (sea-island cotton)
Lineage: Eukaryota; Viridiplantae; Streptophyta; Magnoliopsida; Malvales; Malvaceae
Description: long non-coding RNA (GBAR_LNC019946)
Source: RNAcentral